GCCCGAAGCCGAUUAUCUAACCUUUUGGAAGAAUUCGUCGAAGGUGGAAUCAAUAACUGGGGUGAAGUCGUAACAAGGUAGCCGUAUCGGAAGGUGCGGCUGGAUCACCUCCUUUCUAAGGAGA
RNAcentral lists this ribosomal RNA (124 nucleotides) under Clostridioides difficile. RNAcentral's name for it is "partial 16S ribosomal RNA". It matches the Rfam family "Bacterial small subunit ribosomal RNA", at positions 1419 to 1533 of the family's 1533-position model. The record is from RNAcentral. Lineage: Bacteria; Bacillati; Bacillota; Clostridia; Peptostreptococcales; Peptostreptococcaceae.